AUUGAACGCUGGCGGCAUGCUUUACACAUGCAAGUCGAACGGCAGCACGGGCUUCGGCCUGGUGGCGAGUGGCGAACGGGUGAGUAAUGCAUCGGAACGUGCCCAUGUUGUGGGGGAUAACUACGCGAAAGCGUGGCUAAUACCGCAUACGCCCUGAGGGGGAAAGCGGGGGAUUCUUCGGAACCUCGCGCAAUUGGAGCGGCCGAUGUCAGAUUAGCUUGUUGGUGAGGUAAAGGCUCACCAAGGCGACGAUCUGUAGCGGGUCUGAGAGGAUGAUCCGCCACACUGGGACUGAGACACGGCCCAGACUCCUACGGGAGGCAGCAGUGGGGAAUUUUGGACAAUGGGGGCAACCCUGAUCCAGCCAUGCCGCGUGAGUGAAGAAGGCCUCGGUUGUAAGUACGUCUUCUAGAUGGAAGGAUAA
Molecule: ribosomal RNA, 424 nt
Filed under: uncultured bacterium
Lineage: Bacteria
Description: bacterial SSU rRNA
Rfam family: Bacterial small subunit ribosomal RNA
Source: RNAcentral